UUGUAUCAUAUUCAGUACAUAUGCAUUUUCUAUGCUGUUUCUUUUCAGAUAAAAAGCAACAGCUAUGAUGUGGGGGGCAGCACGGGCUGCGGUUCGGGGACCACGUUUAUCUGGCCCAAACACAAAUACUUUCGGGUACCCAGUACGUACCUCUGGGAGCUAAGCCAAGGUUCCAAACAGCACUUCAAAAGCACAAUGAACCACACAAAAGAACCCUGUAGCUGGUUAAUUUUCUGUGCCAGUCCUUGGCAUUUUUAUGGUGUAUUUCGAGUCUAAUAACAUUUAAAGCAUUUCAUCUUUUGAUGUUUUUCCCCACGGUGUUCCCAGGGCACGAGAGAAUGAGUGGCAGAACGGUACUAAUUGAAAAAGAAGAAAAACAGUAAUUAAAAUCCUAGGGUGAAGACACAGUAAUGGAAGUGUCAGAGAAUUACCUGCUUUGUAUGCUCUCCAUCAUCGAAGUCUUCUGGAAACUUAGGCGACGUGGGCUAAAAGAAUAUUAUAUUCAAACCAGUAAGUGCUUGGCAAACUGCCACAGUGAAAAAGCAUUUAAAUCACCAGACGUAAGAAAAUCGAGUAUAAAAAUGAAAACAAGGAAAGACUGAAGUGAUACCUUCUUGAAGCCCAAGGCCCACAGUUCCAAGCACAUAAAUAUUAUUUUAACACAAAUUUUACCCAAAUGACAGCCAGAUGAUAGAAAACACCUCAUCUGAGGACAAAGUAUUUUAAAAUCUAAUGGUUUCAGAGGAAGACAAAGUAGCUUCAUAAAACACACAGAUGAAAAGAGGAAAAAAAAAAACCCCAAAACAAAACAAAAACCCAAAACAAAAAAAAACACCAAAGCACCAACACACAAUAACAACAACAACAACAACAACAAAAACCAAACAUUAAUACUUAAAACCUGUAUCUCCUGAAAAGCUCCCACCUUUCUGGUAAAUAAGAUUUCAAUCAUAGCAUCAACUUGACAGCUUAGAUAUUCUUCAAAUGAGGGAACAAA
Molecule: long non-coding RNA, 997 nt
Organism: Panthera uncia (snow leopard)
Lineage: Eukaryota; Metazoa; Chordata; Mammalia; Carnivora; Felidae
Exons: 2
Source: RefSeq, a predicted model, not a curated record